GACAAGAUGCUGCUGGAAGUGGUGUUGGAGUGGUGUUGGAGUGAUUGAGGACACUGCCCUGUGUACGAUGCCGUCUUUCAGGUGGUACGUUAAAGGGGUGUCCUGACUCUCUGAGGUCAUUAAAGAUCCUAUGGCACUUAUCGUAUGAGUAGGGGUGUUAACCCUGGUGUCCUGGCUAAAUUCCCAAUCUGGCCCUCAAACCAUCACGGUCACCUAAUAAUCCCCAGGUUACAAUUGGCUUCUUCAUCCGCCUAGUUAAAUAAAGGUUAAAUAUAUAUAUAUUUUUUUUAAAGUUUAGGAUUGCAACAUCAUUCCCUUAAAAAUGUUUAACUAUCUAGUGGUCCUUAGAUUUGAGCUCCAGCACACUUCAAUUAAUAAGAUACACCUAGUUGCUCUUCUCCUGGACUGUCACCUUGACACGGUGGAGAGGUUUGCAUACUCCAAUGACCCCGAUUAAUAAGCCGGAGGGGGUUUAUACUCCCGGGAGGUGCAACCAAGCCGGUCAGGUCGAAGGGUAGGAGCCAGACAAAUCAGUCCAAGGUCCUCCGUGUUGGGGGAUGGGCGUGGGGCAAACUACCCCACCCCGGAAAAAAAGAAAACAUUAAUAAAUGGAAACCAAAUAUGUUGCCCCAAAGCAGGACAUUUCAUUGGACACAUGUUACUAAUGAAGGGAGAAGCUGACAGUGAAGGACAUUUACUUUUACAGCUUAACUGAUGAUGCUAUGAUGAUAUUAUGUUAUGCAAUGUUAAUGAUUUUAUUGUUGUGGUUUUAUCUUACACAUGACUGUAAUUGCAGUCUUUAUGUUGAUUGGUUGAGCACACUGUAUUAAUGUAUUAGAAUAGCUGACUGUAGAUGUUUUUCCAGCAGUACAGACAGACAUUAUCACACUACUGGCAGUGGGCUGGAAUAAGAGGAAGAUCACCAACAUGGAUCGCAUCUCAGCAAAGAAAAUGUCCAAAGACUGAAGGAGGAGACCAGCUUCCUUGAAGAUAAGUGGUCAGAGCUGGACACCGAUGACCCAGUGCUUCAGGAGUGGGUUGCUGAGGUCCAGCAGUGGCCUGAAGGGUGAGGUUUUCUUCACUACGCACAAUCAACAGUGAGACAUUCACAUCUAAACCAGGAGUCCAACCACA
Molecule: long non-coding RNA, 1134 nt
Organism: Oncorhynchus tshawytscha (Chinook salmon)
Lineage: Eukaryota; Metazoa; Chordata; Actinopteri; Salmoniformes; Salmonidae
Exons: 3
Source: RefSeq, a predicted model, not a curated record